This 106-nucleotide small nucleolar RNA is filed under the name Drosophila willistoni. RNAcentral describes it as "snoRNA:GK26541". The record is from RNAcentral. Lineage: Eukaryota; Metazoa; Arthropoda; Insecta; Diptera; Drosophilidae.
AGAGACUGCUUGCUUAUAAAGCUUGGCUAGAAUAAAAUUCUAUCGUAUAUCCGUAGCGUUUUAAAUGUGUACAUAACCGACAUUUGGCGUAUGAACUGAAGAGACA